RNAcentral lists this ribosomal RNA (714 nucleotides) under uncultured bacterium. RNAcentral's name for it is "bacterial SSU rRNA". It matches the Rfam family "Bacterial small subunit ribosomal RNA", at positions 60 to 787 of the family's 1533-position model. The record is from RNAcentral.
AGUCGAACGAGAGAGAAGGAGCUUGCUUCUUCGAUCGAGUGGCGAACGGGUGAGUAACGCGUGAGGAACCUGCCUCAAAGAGGGGGACAACAGUUGGAAACGACUGCUAAUACCGCAUAAGCCCACGGGUCGGCAUCGACCUGAGGGAAAAGGAGUGAUCCGCUUUGAGAUGGCCUCGCGUCCGAUUAGCUAGUUGGUGAGGUAACGGCCCACCAAGGCGACGAUCGGUAGCCGGACUGAGAGGUUGAACGGCCACAUUGGGACUGAGACACGGCCCAGACUCCUACGGGAGGCAGCAGUGGGGAAUAUUGCACAAUGGGGGAAACCCUGAUGCAGCGACGCCGCGUGGAGGAAGAAAGUCUUCGGAUUGUAAACUCCUGUUGUUGAGGAAGAUAAUGACGGUACUCAACAAGGAAGUGACGGCUAACUACGUGCCAGCAGCCGCGGUAAAACGUAGGUCACAAGCGUUGUCCGGAAUUACUGGGUGUAAAGGGAGCGCAGGCGGGAAGACAAGUUGGAAGUGAAAUCUAUGGGCUCAACCCAUAAACUGCUUUCAAAACUGUUUUUCUUGAGUAGUGCAGAGGUAGGCGGAAUUCCCGGUGUAGCGGUGGAAUGCGUAGAUAUCGGGAGGAACACCAGUGGCGAAGGCGGCCUACUGGGCACCAACUGACGCUGAGGCUCGAAAGUGUGGGUAGCAAACAGGAUUAGAUACCC